RNAcentral lists this ribosomal RNA (432 nucleotides) under uncultured bacterium. RNAcentral's name for it is "partial 16S ribosomal RNA". It matches the Rfam family "Bacterial small subunit ribosomal RNA", at positions 29 to 506 of the family's 1533-position model. The record is from RNAcentral.
AACGAACGCUGGCGGCAUGCCUAACACAUGCAAGUCGAACGAGACCUUCGGGUCUAGUGGCGCACGGGUGCGUAACGCGUGGGAACCUGCCCUUAGGUUCGGAAUAACUCCCCGAAAGGGGUGCUAAUACCGGAUAAUGUCUUCGGACCAAAGAUUUAUCGCCUUUGGAUGGGCCCGCGUUGGAUUAGCUAGUUGGUAGGGUAAAAGCCUACCAAGGCGACGAUCCAUAGCUGGUCUGAGAGGAUGAUCAGCCACACUGGGACUGAGACACGGCCCAGACUCCUACGGGAGGCAGCAGUGGGGAAUAUUGGUCAAUGGGCGAAAGCCUGAUCCAGCAAGGCCGCGUGAGUGAUGAAGGCCUUAGGGUUGUAAAGCUCUUUUACCCGGGAUGAUAAUGACAGUACCGGGAGAAUAAGCUCCGGCUAACUCCGU